CCUACGGGAGGCAGCAGUGAGGAAUAUUGGUCAAUGGGCGCGAGCCUGAACCAGCCAAGUCGCGUGAGGGAAGACGGUCCUAUGGAUUGUAAACCUCUUUUGCCGGGGAGCAAAAGACGCCACGCGUGGCGUCCCUAGAGUUCCCGAAGAAAAAGCAUUGGCUAACUCCGUGCCAGCAGCCGCGGUUAUACGGAGGAUGCGAGCGUUAACCGGAUUUAUUGGGGUUAAAGGGUGCGCAGGCGGAAGCUCAAGUCAGGGGUAAAAUUGAGAGGCUCAACCUCUUUGAGCCGUUGAAACUGGGGUUCGUGAGUGGGCGAGAAGUAUGCGGAAUGCGUGGUGUAGCGGUGAAAUGCAUAGAUAUCACGCAGAACUCCGAUUGCGAAGGCAGCAUACCGGCGCCCAACUGACGCUGAUGCACGAAAGUGUGGGGAUCGAACAGGAUUAGAUACCCCUGUAGUC
RNAcentral lists this ribosomal RNA (459 nucleotides) under uncultured bacterium. Its description in RNAcentral is "partial 16S ribosomal RNA". It matches the Rfam family "Bacterial small subunit ribosomal RNA", at positions 338 to 795 of the family's 1533-position model. The record is from RNAcentral.